GGAGCUGGGAGCGGCCGAGGUGAACCGCCGGCUGCUGCGGGCGGCCGACGUCGACGUGUUCCUGGUCGACUCCGGGUACCGCCCCGGUGAGCUGCU
Molecule: transfer RNA, 96 nt
Filed under: Actinoplanes regularis
Lineage: Bacteria; Bacillati; Actinomycetota; Actinomycetes; Micromonosporales; Micromonosporaceae
Description: tRNA-Arg
Source: RNAcentral